AGUGAACGCUGGCGGCAGGCCUAACACAUGCAAGUCGAACGGCAGCACAGUAAGAGCUUGCUCUUACGGGUGGCGAGUGGCGGACGGGUGAGGAAUACAUCGGAAUCUACUUUUUCGUGGGGGUUAACGUAGGGAAACUUACGCUAAUACCGCAUACGACCUACGGGUGAAAGCAGGGGAUCUUCGGACCUUGCGCGAUUGAAUGAGCCGAUGUCGGAUUAGCUAGUUGGCGGGGUAAAGGCCCACCAAGGCGACGAUCCGUAGCUGGUCUGAGAGGAUGAUCAGCCACACUGGAACUGAGACACGGUCCAGACACCUACGGGAGGCAGCAGUGGGGAAUAUUGGACAAUGGGCGCAAGCCUGAUCCAGCCAUACCGCGUGGGUGAAGAAGGCCUUCGGGUUGUAAAGCCCUUUUGUUGGGAAAGAAAAGCAGCAGGUUAAUACCCCGCUGUUCUGACGGUACCCAAAGAAUAAGCACCGGCUAACUUCGUG
This 492-nucleotide ribosomal RNA is filed under the name uncultured bacterium. Its description in RNAcentral is "partial 16S ribosomal RNA". It matches the Rfam family "Bacterial small subunit ribosomal RNA", at positions 29 to 507 of the family's 1533-position model. The record is from RNAcentral.